This 74-nucleotide transfer RNA is filed under the name Candidatus Aenigmatarchaeota archaeon. RNAcentral describes it as "tRNA-Trp". It matches the Rfam family "tRNA". Rfam says of the family: Transfer RNA (tRNA) molecules are approximately 80 nucleotides in length. Their secondary structure includes four short double-helical elements and three loops (D, anti-codon, and T loops). The record is from RNAcentral. Lineage: Archaea; Nanobdellati; Candidatus Aenigmatarchaeota.
GGGGCUGUCGUCUAACCAGGUUAGGACGGCUGGCUCCAGACCAGCUGAUCUGGGUUCAAAUCCCAGCAGCCCCA